ACGGAAGGCAGCAGUAGGGAAUCUUCGGCAAUGGGGGCAACCCUGACCGAGCAACGCCGCGUGAGUGAAGAAGGUUUUCGGAUCGUAAAGCUCUGUUGUAAGAGAAGAACGUGUGUGAGUGUGGAGAGUUCACACAGUGACGGUAACUUACCAGAAAGGGACGGCUAACUACGUGCCAGCAGCCGCGGUAAUACGUAGGUCCCGAGCGUUGUCCGGAUUUAUUGGGCGUAAAGCGAGCGCAGGCGGUUUAAUAAGUCUGAAGUUAAAGGCAGUGGCUUAACCAUUGUUCGCUUUGGAAACUGUUAGACUUGAGUGCAGAAGGGGAGAGGGAAUUCCAUGUGUAGCGGUGAAAUGCGUAGAUAUAUGGAGGAACACCGGUGGCGAAAGCGACUCUCUGGUCUGUAACUGACGCUGAGGCUCGAAAGCGUGGGGAGCAAACAGGAUUAGAUACCCUGGUA
This 458-nucleotide ribosomal RNA is filed under the name uncultured Streptococcus sp. RNAcentral describes it as "partial 16S ribosomal RNA". It matches the Rfam family "Bacterial small subunit ribosomal RNA", at positions 341 to 792 of the family's 1533-position model. The record is from RNAcentral. Lineage: Bacteria; Bacillati; Bacillota; Bacilli; Lactobacillales; Streptococcaceae.